This is a long non-coding RNA of Lycium barbarum (goji berry), 8661 nucleotides long. RefSeq lists it as uncharacterized. The record is from RefSeq and is a predicted model, not a curated record. The transcript is spliced from 2 exons. Lineage: Eukaryota; Viridiplantae; Streptophyta; Magnoliopsida; Solanales; Solanaceae.
CUUGGAUAAAGCUCCACGUGCGACUGAACUGCCUGACGAAAUUGAAGCGCGUUGCCCAUGCCUUCCACGCAUAUCCCAAUAAACUAUCGCUACCAUAUCCUUCAAAGGAGUCGUGCCAUGUAAGUACUAAUUCCACGUCCACACAAAUACUAUAUUUUGCAGUACAACAACAUUCCACCCUUCAAAUCAAUCUUUCACUUACCUUUGAUUUGUUUUUUUUUUUCUUCCUACUUCACCCCUCUCGCCACUGAGUAUUGUUGUCGUCGUUGAAAAUACCUAAGUAUUGCAAUUGAUAAAAGAACCGGAGCAAAAUUGCUGACUGAAAACAAGCAUCCGAAGCUUGUUUAUCCUUUUGCUAAAUAUUGGUUCAGCACCUUCGGCCUGUUUCCAGAUUCACUCCUUUUUUCAGGGCCAGCCAGAGGACGAAGACACUAAAGCGGGGAUUUUAGGCUCCAAAAUUUUGGGGGCCUCAUUUUUUUAAUCCAAUGUUCGAUACCUGUAUUGAAUUUUUCGAUUGAUUCGAUUUCGAGACGCAAAGCUGGUUAAAGAGGGAAGCACUCCCUAACAAAAAAUUUUUGUCCUAAGGCUGGAACCCAAGACCUCUAGGAUGAGACCUAAUUCUUACUUACAAUAGAUUUAUAGGUUAAUUUUUCUUUUAAAAAAUAUUUAGCAGAAAAAAUAAGACCUCCCGUUAAAGUUGGCUUUAGGCCCCCGAUUUUAUUGAACCGCUCCUGCAUACAUACCCAGUUGUACAUGUCCUUAUCUUAGGAUACAUAUGUUUUUUUUUUCCUUGGAAGAAUCUUCAUUCCGUCCAAUUAGUUGAACGCAUAUUAAGUGAUAUAUAUGGCAUUUUUUUUUUUUUUUUUUACAUUAUUAGAUCAUUUAAAUUUAUCCCCGAUAGUGUAAAAAUUCUUGGCAUAACUUGUAUAUACACAAGUUGUACUAGAAUUAUAAUGCAAGGAUUACAAUACAAAGAUUAAAUAAUGACAAGAUAUUUGAUAGAUAUAUUUUUAUAGGUAGAUAUUUGGUUCAUUAGACUAAAAAUGAGAUAUGCGAAGUAUAAUAUAAAACAUGUGUUUGUUUUUACUUACACUUGAAAAGGAAUUUGGGUGCAAAGGCAUUGAUGCACAGAUGUUUUCUCUAAAGGGGAAUUGGGUCGUGGGUGGCGGGUCAUGGGUCGGGUAGUAGGAUAAGAUCUGGUGGGGAGGGCCGGGGCUUUAUUUUCGACCAAUAAGGAGGCAUCUCGUAAUAAAUUAUAAUAAAAAAUACUUAUAAGAACGGAGAGGGUAGUUAAGUUUAAGGAUAUAAGUGAGCCAAAAUAGGUGGAUGAAGUGUAUUUUUAGACCAAUAGAUGGAUGAAGGGUAUUUUUAAAUCUUUUGGGAUAGUUCCGGGACAUUUUUGGACCUUUUCCGUAUAAUCAAACAUGUUCACAAGCAGAACUCCAAACAUCAAUAACAAAUUCCAUUAGAACCAUUUCAGUUACAGAUGCGAUGAUCAAAUAAAAUCAAUCACAAUAGACAAUAUCCGAAAUUCCAGUUCUAAUUUAAGACGCUAAAGUAACACCUUUAAUUCUCGCAUUUCAUGAGUAGAACUAGUUUCAUGAGUUACAGCAAUUUUUGGUAGAUUAUAUUUGCAUCAUACUUGCAGAUUUGAUAUACAAGGUGUGCUUAAUUCCUCCAUAAUAGUUUACUUGUUUCAUUUAGUUUGACAUAACUAUAUACAAGCUAAAAUUAAGAGCCUGUUUGGAAAGCCACCCAGGUAAUUGAAAUUAGGUGUAAUUGGGUGUAAAUUACACAGUUUGGCCUGCUUGUUUGACCAAGUAAUUACACAAUUAGGUGGGAAUUGGGUGUAAUUGAGAGGGUGUAAUUACACUCUCCAAUUCUCAAGGGGGUUGAGAAUUGAGUGUAAUUACACCCUGUAAUUACAUGGUUACUUUUUAGUUUGUUUCUUUUUUGUUUAUUUUAAUUUCUAUUAUUUUAAUUUCUUUUUAUUUUUAAUUUCUUUUAAUUUUUAAUUUAUUUUUAUUUCUAUUAUUUUAAUUUCUUUUUUCUUUUUUCUUUUUAAUUAUUGUAUUUUGAAAAUGUAUUUUUUUUUUUUUAUGUAUUUUUCAUUUCCUUUCUUCCCAUUCCCAACCUUUACUUCUUGUGGUUCCAUGUAAUUGAUCGUAUUUUUUAUUUAUUUUUUCAUUUAGCAUAACCAUGUUAUUAUUCUAAUUUUGGAAACUACACCUCUUAAUAUUGGAAAGAAUGAAUCAUUAACAAACUUGACAUACAACGAGUGACGUUAUUAAAGUAGAAUUUCGUUGUGAAUGAGGUUAUAGACGUGUAUUUUUCCUUUCUUUUGAAUGAACUUACUUAUGUAAUAUUGGAAUUUGACAUAAGAGUAUUAUAUUAAACUUUUUCUUUUGGAUUUUGAAUUUAUGUUAUAUUUUCAAUUUUAAGUUAUUUGCUUUUUGUUUAUUUGUCACUUGCAUUUGAUGGAUUUUUUGUGUCAAACAUUUGAAUAACAUUAUGAUAUUAUAUUUAUAAAUAUUAUAUUUUUGUCAAACAUCCAAUCCAUGACGUUCUUAAAAAAAAUCUUCUUUUAAGUUUUAUAAUUAAUUAAAAUUAAAUACUAUUAAUUUGAAAAAUAUAUAUCCAUUAUUUUUUUACAAUAUUAGUUACAAAUAUAUGAUUAUUAAUUAAUAUAUUUUCAAGAAACAAUGUGUUAUUAAAUAACUAAUUUAAUAUCAUUUAUAAGGAAAACAUUUUUUAUAUAUUAAUUUUAAAUUUUUUAUAAUUAAAUUUUAUUUUUAAAUUAAACUAAAUGUGUAAUUACACUUGUGCAAUCAAACAACACGCUUGUAAUUACACUGUAAUUACGUUAUGACAAACAAACAGGUCGUUGUAAUUACACUACUGUGUAAUUACUAGGCUUUGUAAUUACUACCCUAGUAAUUACAUCAAUUCCAAUUACCAGGUGGCUUUCCAACAGGCCCUAAAUUGAAAUUUUAUUAUACUUAAAUGAUAUAAAGUUGAUUCUUGUAAAAUUAAAAUUUUGUGCUCUUUAGAACAGAAAGAUGUAUUGGCUUACCUCUUGGAUACUCCUAGAAUAAUGAUAAAAUAUGCGUGGAAGAGAUUUCUAUUUCAGAAAAGUUGACACAAUUUUCGGAUCCCUCUUUACUUCCCAACGGAGAAUAUAGGUAGGGAUGACAGGAUUUGGACCCUAACAUGUUUUACCCCAAACAAGGCUAUACCAAACUACUCUACAUCCCUUUCAAUUGGUCUACAAUGUAGAAAAUCCCAGCCCACCACUCUCCCUGUAGGCCGAGCCUCCCUUUCAGUCGCUCUCUACAUCAUUUAGGGUAAUUCAAGGAAUUAGACAUUUUCAUUAAAAAUGACCUUAGGUCUAUUUUUUUUUUUUAAUAAGCCAUUACCUUAGGUUGUGAUCCCUUAGGUGUGGGGGGUUAGACUUGACCUCUAUCAGGUCCAUUAAUGCACAAAAAUGUUACACAUGUUAGAGGGGGACAUGGGCCAAACCUCUAAUCAUUAAUUACAUAGGGAGGAUUUGACCUAUACAAGUUCCAUCCCUACUACUACAUUAAGAAAAUUAACUUACAAAGAAGUUGCUUUUAUCAUAUCUCCUUCUCAUUGAUGGAAAGUGCCAUUUAUCCAGUUGAAUUAAACCUUUAACUUCUUGUGGCAGUUGAUGUCUUGAAGUAUAAAAGGUUUCAUUUCUACUAGCAGCAGCUAACUUUGCAAAGUAAUCAGCAAUCUUAUUAGCUUCUCUGAAGCAGUGUUUGAAAUCCACCACUUCACUCCUUGCCCAAGUGCUCUGAACCUUAGGUCUAAUUCAAUCUUUAAAAUUAGCUCAUGAAUUAAGAAUUGCUCAGAACUAUAAAAAAGACCAAGUCCCCCAUCCACAAUUGAUGUGGGAAGCUCAAUAAAAUUAAUUAAGGCAAGGAAUGAAUCUUAGCUUUCGUGUUUCUUCUUCAAAUAAUUAAUUAACACGCUUAAUCAUGAAACUUGAGUAAUAAUCAACUGCAAUAUAAGACUUACUAUAUCUGUUUUGGUCAUACAACCUCCAAGACAAAUAAGUUCAAGCACUUCAAUAUUUUCAUACACAAAAAAUCAUAUUUUCUACAACAUUAUAUUGCAGUGAGUUCCUCAAGAAGUUUUAAUAGUUGGAUCUACCCAUCUAGUUUGCUGAAGAAAACUUUAUAAUAACUGCUCCUCUUGGGCAUCACAAUCAUAAUUAGAGAUAAUAUCUAAUGAAUUUUUUGGAUAUAUAUAUAUAUAUAUAUAUAUUAAUCAUUAAACUCUUUUAUUCACCACAUUUACCUAAUUAUAUCCAAUCUGAAAUUGCGCAAGUACUUUAUGGUAGUUUUUAGGAAAGCAGCAUUCUCAAAAGCAAUUAGUAGCACGCGUGUUGUUGAUUUAGCAUAAAGACUCAAAGUGCAGCGUGCUUCUUUUGCUUACAUAUAUCUGGUGAUUAUCCCAAUUUAAGCCACUAAUUUGGAGAUUAUUGUUGCCUCUUUGUCAUUUACCUUUGCUAAUUUUUUUCACUCAUUUCAUGGAGACUGUAUUUAGCGCAUUCUUCUAUUCGUGACUUUUUGCUUGAUUUUUUAAGUUUACUACAUUGACCUUUUUGCUGUCCUGUAUGGCCGGUUAUUUCAAGAAUUACUGAGUUUAAUUAUUUCAAGCAUCCAUAAGAACGAUAAAAUAGUUUGAGACUCUAACUUAGGGAAUAAAUGAUGCUCCAUAUAGGAGGAGAAAGAACUGAGAAUUAGAUCAGAAGAACCAUAGUUCAACUAACUUAAUAUAUAGGCUACAAAGGCAAUUAAGAUGAUUUCAAGCUUUAUUAAUCCUCUUUGUUUAAUCCGACCAUAUAUAGUUGUCAACUACUAGCCCAAAAUCAUGCUUUCUAUGGAUUAUUGACUAAUAUGUAUCCGGUCAAUUACUAAUUAAACUAUAAUCACCUGAGCUAAUAUGAGUUCAAUCUUUAAUUUUUUUUAGAAUUCAUUAUAUUUGUGAAAUUAUGGGUUGAGACUUACUGUUUUAGUUCAUUUUUCUACAUAAAUGUAUGUUACGAAUAAAAAGAACUGAGUUCAGAUGAACCUGGUGCCGCAGCGCUUCAUCCAUUGAUACUUCUAUUCAAUAUAUUGUGUGUGUGAGAGAGAUUAAUAAGUAUGUUACGAAUAAAAAGAACUGAGUUCAGAUGAACCUGGUGCCGCAGCGCUUCAUCCAUUGAUACUUCUAUUCAAUAUAUUGUGUGUGUGAGAGAGAUUAAUAAGUAGCUGUAGUUUCUUAAUGUCCCCUUCGAAGGACUUGUCUUCAGGUACAUGGCAAAGGACCAGAGAUUCAAAUGAUCUGUUUCGAGGAUAGCUGCAAGCUUAGGGCAAAAAAUUAAGAACAUAGAUUUAUAACACUAAAGUACAUUAAAGUUAAUGAUAAACCGACAAUUUGUACAUGAGUUUUUUAAUUGAAGUUGGGCAGAUCAAGUAAGCUUAGCACAAAUUAAUCAAGCGAAUAUAUACAUAAAAUAAUAAAAAUCAGAUUAGUGUUCAGAUCUUCCUUCCGACAAAAUCUGCACAGCAAAAGAGGACAGAAAAAAAAACCGUAGCACUCGAUAAUUAAUUUUUGUGUGAAGACGACCCCACCUUUCAAUUUCUUUCCUUUUAUAGUAGUAAAGAUUUGCAAGAAAUUUCCCCAAUAAGAAAACCUAAAAUUGAACAACUACCAUAUAUAGAGAAAGCAAAAGAAGAAAAAGGGGAAAAAAGAGGCUGAACAUGAUGACCGAAGCAUAGAGAGCACAAAUGAAGUGAUAUGCUUUUGUAGUUUGUUGUUGGCCUCUCCAGAUUUAGCAUGUCAUCAUAUGUGCUCUCUAUCUUCUGUCAACAAUAUAGCCAAUUUCCCUUAUUCCUCUUCAUACUAUUCAAUACCCUAUACACAUACAGCUAAUAAUUAGUAGUACAGCAAAAUGUUGAAGAAAAACAUGAAUUUUGGGUGGGUGGGUAGGGUUGGUGUUUAAUGCAGACAGGGAGGAGUAGGGUAAGUUUUGGGUUGGGAGAUUUAUAGUAGUAUUAAUUUUGGGGGACUACCGUAUUAAGGACUAGCAGGAGAGAAGGGCCUAUUUAUAGAAAGAAAAUAGUACUACUAUGAGAGUAAAUAAUUCAUUCCAGUACCUGUCCCCUAGAUAUGUUCGUUAUUGACGUUUUUCACUGUAAAUACACCACCGCCACAAGUUCGCACUGUUACUUUUAAUAACCCUAAAUUCAGUUUCUUUCUGGUUAACCAUACAUUCCACUGUGCUCACUCAACGUUACAAAGGCAAAAAUGCCACAAAGAUUCUUCCAACACUAGCCUGUUUGGCUAAGCUUCUAACUUUUCAAAAUAGUACUUGUGACGAAAAAUAGUUUGUGUUUUGUCAGUUAAUUUAAAAAAUAUUUUUGAACAGUAAUAAGUGUUUGACCAAGCUUUUAGAAAAUAUUUAUAAGUGCAUUUUUAUCAAAAAUGUUUUUCAAAAAAAUAUUUUUGGACGAAAAAUAACUUUUGCUACUCCCCGGUAGCUCUUAUUUUUCUCCCAAAAGCUUGGCCAAGCACCUCACUUUAUUAAAAGAAAAAAAAACACUUUUGAGGGAAAAUAAGCUUGGUCAAACAAGCUAUAAAUAAUAAAAAUUUGUCUGCGAUUAGCACGCAUUGGUGGUGGAUUAUCAAAAUAUCCUAUUUACAGAGUUUUUUUUUUUCUGAAAUUCCGUAGUCAAUUUCUAUUUUUUUUUAGGUGAAAAAAAACAACAGAAGUAUAAGAAAAAGCUUCCCCAUAGAAAUUAGAAGAACAAAGCUUCUGUUCCUCAUUUUCUGGAAGAGUCAAUAUCUCUUUUAUUACAAUUUAUAUGUGAACUGUUUUUUUUGUUCAUUUUGAAAAGAAGAUCCUUUUUAAAUUUAAAAGGAAAAUUAAUCUUGUAAUUUUACACUUAUGAGAAGAUUUUAUAUCAUUUAACACUCCAUCCGUUUCAAUUUACGUGAACCUGUUUUCUAUUUAGGUAGUGCCAAAUUAGAUUUGAAAACGGAUUCAUUUUUUAAUUGAUUUAUAACGACACAAAUAUUUUUGACUUGUUUCAACUCACAAAUUUUAAAAGUCUUCCUUUCUCUCUUAGACUGCUCUCAAAAAUAGGUUCACAUAAAGGAGGGAGUAUUAUAAAUUUCAAAAUCUUAAUACCUAUACAAAUAUUAUGACAUAUUUAAUAUCAUUACGAAAGAAUCGUCUUUCUGGGGGACUUUCUACCGUCAAAUUGAAGUAGGAGUAAAAUUUAUAUGCGAUUACUGCAGAUUUUAUACAUGUGGGGUGACAGGUACCUGGUGCUUCCUUUGGGUGAAGUAUUCAUAAAAUGAGGACUUCGGUUCCCAAUUAUUCUAGAGCAAAAAAAGAAAUCGUUCUAGAUAUUAGUGGUUGUAAAAUCUAAAAAUCAUUUUCCCGUCAUUGUAGAUCUUAAUUCCUGGGGGUUGUAUGUAUCUUCUGAUGGUGAUCCAAACUGUUGUAUAAUUAGCAAGUCCUACUGCAUCUGGGGUUUUCUCUUCCGAGAUCCUUGGCAACUUUAUUUGAUUAAUUUGAGCAUGAGCCCCUCUCUUACAGAAAUGCAGAGUAAGACUGCAUACAGUAGACUUUUGUGGUCUGUUUCUUCCGCGAACAUGCACAUAGCCUGAACUUAGUGUACCGGGCUUUUUUUUUUUUUUUUUUUUUUUUUAAACUUUGAUUUGAGCUCAGCUAGAGUUCUGCAAAUGUUAGCGAUUGCCGAUUUGUCUCCUUUUUUUUCCCCCAAAAAUCCAUCACCAUCGUAGUGAUGGGGGGUUUGGCAGGACCCCUACCAUGUCCAUUGAUUCCAAAAUACAGUUACAUUGGAGGGGGACAUGGUACCUUACCUCCUUAAGUCAGUUAAUGCAUUUCGCCUAAGUCACCUCACGGAGGUUCAAAGUACCAACCUGCAUUCUUUUUAACUCUCCUCCUAAAGGAAGGAAGGUUGAGCUUAUUCAUUCUGAGUGGUCCUCUAACUUCCAUCGGCAAGUCACCUUCAACCAAAAAAAUUCUAGGGACUUGUAUUCUUGUUGCGUAUUUAGCUAGGGCAUCUGCCACCUCAUUUCCUUCUCUAUAGCAAUGCUGUAUCGAGAUGUUUCUAUGAGCCAUCUUUGACUUAAUGCUUUCUAUGAUGCCAUGUAACCUCCAAGGAGGUUUAAGGGAACCCUCAAUCAUUUGUACGACCAUCUUGGAAUCCAAUUCUACUUCAAGGGCUUCGAAGGGAUGAUUGACACACCAAGAAAUACCGACUAGAGCUGCAUAUGCUUCACUAUAAUUGUUAGUGCAGAAUUGGGAUGGAUGUGCAAAGGCCAUGACCAUAUCCCCAUUUCUGUUCCUAACAAUACCGCCAGCUCUUGCUUUGUUUUGAUUUUCCAUGUAGCUUCCAUACGUGUUGAGCUUCCAAGUGUUACCUGUUGGUUUGCUCCACUUGAUCAUCUUACUUGUUAUCACUGCUUUGAAAUUUUCUGCUUGUAAACAAAUUUUGCUCCAGUUCCCCUUUAUCCCCGGAAUAAUAUUCAAACUUGUUAUCACUGCUUUGAAAUUUUCUGCUUGUAAACAAAUUUUGCUCCAGUUCCCCUUUAUCCCCGGAAUAAUAUUCAAUCCCUGAC